CCUANGGGUGGCAGCAGUAAGGAAUCUUCCACAAUGGGGGCAACCCUGAUGGAGCAAUACCGCGUGCAGGAUGAAGCGUUUCGGCGUGUAAACUGCUUUUAUCACCGAAGAUUAUGACUGUAGGUGAAGAAUAAGGACCGGCUAACUACGUGCCAGCAGCCGCGGUAAUACGUAGGGUCCAAGCGUUAUCCGGAAUUACUGGGCGUAAAGCGUCUGUAGGCGGCUUAAUAAGUCGGGUGCGAAAUCUUGCGGCUCAACCGUAUAGACUGUGCUCGAAACUAUUUAGCUAGAGGUAGGUAGAGGCAAGUGGAAUUUCUGGUGUAGGAGUGACAUCCGUAGAUAUCAGAAGGAACACCAAUGGCGAAGGCAGCUUGCUGGGCCUUACCUGACGCUCAGAGACGAAAGCGUGGGGAGCGAACGGGAUUAGAUACCCCGNUANUC
RNAcentral lists this ribosomal RNA (441 nucleotides) under uncultured bacterium. Its description in RNAcentral is "bacterial SSU rRNA". It matches the Rfam family "Bacterial small subunit ribosomal RNA", at positions 338 to 795 of the family's 1533-position model. The record is from RNAcentral.